RNAcentral lists this non-coding RNA (730 nucleotides) under Cichlidogyrus halli. RNAcentral describes it as "12S ribosomal RNA". The stretch from base 336 to 723 matches the Rfam family "Microsporidia small subunit ribosomal RNA", at positions 752 to 1304 of the family's 1311-position model. The record is from RNAcentral. Lineage: Eukaryota; Metazoa; Platyhelminthes; Monogenea; Dactylogyridea; Ancyrocephalidae.
GAAUUGUUUAGUUGUGGCAAYAGAAACCGCAWAGUUCCAACCGCAUAGUAAAUUAAUUUAUAGUUUGCUAGAGUAAUGUUUAUAGUUAUUUUAUAAUAGCGGUGAGUUCUUAAUAUUUUCGUUGUUGUUGCGACAUUAGGAGAACUUUAUAUAGGGAGGAUAAGUCACAGUGCCAGCAUCCGCGGUUAUUCUGUUUCCUUUGGUUUCAUUAAUGGCAUAAAAAUUGAUUUAUGAUUAAAAUUUUUUAGUUAAAUAUGUAAAUUUUAUUAAAUUUUUUAAAUCGAUGUUUUUUAAAGCUUUGUUAAAGUAAGUCAGAUUUGAUACCUGAUUAUCGAGCUAAAUAAAUUAGCGUUAGUAUAAACUAAAACAACUUGGCAGCCAACGAAUCCUAACAGGGGAGGGUGCACUAUAAAAGAUGAUCCGCUAAUUAAUUAACCAGAUUUAAUCAGUUGGUGUACGUCCGGUUAAAUACCCGUAAUGAUAAUUAAUUACGGGUGAAUACAUAGUUAGUUUAAGCCAGGUCAAUGUGCUACUAAUAGUCUGGUAGAUGUUCCCUACAGUAACAUAUUAUAAGAGAGUAGGUCUUAGGUUUAGGACUUGUAAGUAAAAUAGUUGAGUUUGGCUAUUUGAAGGGGGUUUAGUUGGGGUACACACCGCCCGUCAACCUCGGUGAUUAAGCUGAGGUAAGUCGUAACAAGGUAGCCUUUGGGGAACCAGGGGCUUUAGUAAC